ACGGAAGGCAGCAGUGGGGAAUAUUGCACAAUGGGCGAAAGCCUGAUGCAGCGACGCCGCGUGAGUGAAGAAGUAUCUCGGUAUGUAAAGCUCUAUCAGCAGGGAGGAAAAUGACGGUACCUGACUAAGAAGCCCCGGCUAACUACGUGCCAGCAGCCGCGGUAAUACGUAGGGGGCAAGCGUUAUCCGGAUUUACUGGGUGUAAAGGGAGCGUAGACGGUUUGGCAAGUCUGAAGUGAAAUGCGGGGGCUCAACUCCUGAACUGCUUUGGAAACUGUCGAACUAGAGUGCAGGAGAGGUAAGUGGAAUUCCUAGUGUAGCGGUGAAAUGCGUAGAUAUUAGGAGGAACACCAGUGGCGAAGGCGGCUUACUGGACUGUAACUGACGUUGAGGCUCGAAAGCGUGGGGAGCAAACAGGAUUAGAUACCCUGGUA
This 434-nucleotide ribosomal RNA is filed under the name uncultured Lachnospiraceae bacterium. RNAcentral's name for it is "partial 16S ribosomal RNA". It matches the Rfam family "Bacterial small subunit ribosomal RNA", at positions 341 to 792 of the family's 1533-position model. Lineage: Bacteria; Bacillati; Bacillota; Clostridia; Lachnospirales; Lachnospiraceae. The record is from RNAcentral.